Molecule: small nuclear RNA, 19 nt
Filed under: Arabidopsis thaliana (thale cress)
Lineage: Eukaryota; Viridiplantae; Streptophyta; Magnoliopsida; Brassicales; Brassicaceae
Description: snRNA_02394
Source: RNAcentral
UGUCUUUUCUAGUUCGUCG